UGGCAUGAAAUUCACUCGCUUAUCCGGAAUGAGCUACUGAGUUGGAGUACAGGAAAGAAGCACCACUUCUUUAUUGUCUUGAAACUCCGCUCUGAACCCGAAUCGUAGAACUCGGAUAUGAUAGAUUUCUCAUCUCAGGUUAAUCAAUUCAAUGAUCGACUUCUUUCUUUUUCUCAAUAUGAUUCUUCAAAGAUGCUAAAAUUGACUAUCUCAUGGAAGGGAGUGGGAUGUGAGAGAAAGUCUUACGAUCCAACUAUCUCUUGUACCCCCUAAUUGGCGCUGAGGAGUCUUCAUCUUGGCAUCCAUCGCCACUCCCCAUGCUGGUAAGAAAGGGGUCAACCCGGUGGCGCAUCAACGUUUUGAGCGAGUGAGAGCCUUGAACCAAGGCCGGGUGCUGUCGCAAUCCGCAGAAGUAGCUUCAAUCAAAGGUUGCGCAACUGCCAAUAAAGACAUUGCUCUACGACUCCUUAGAGGUUGGGGAGUGGAAGAAGAUUCAUCACUGGGCUGGACUUUAAGACCUUAGUUGAAAAUACCUUUCCUCAUUCAUG
Molecule: long non-coding RNA, 548 nt
Filed under: Solanum melongena (eggplant)
Lineage: Eukaryota; Viridiplantae; Streptophyta; Magnoliopsida; Solanales; Solanaceae
Description: long non-coding RNA (SMEL_LNC000229)
Source: RNAcentral